RNAcentral lists this unclassified non-coding RNA (343 nucleotides) under soil metagenome. RNAcentral's name for it is "partial contains 5.8S ribosomal RNA, internal transcribed spacer 2, and large subunit ribosomal RNA". The stretch from base 1 to 120 matches the Rfam family "5.8S ribosomal RNA", at positions 35 to 154 of the family's 154-position model. The record is from RNAcentral.
GAUGAAGAACGUAGUAAAAUGCGAUAAGUAAUGUGAAUUGCAGAAUUCAGUGAAUCAUCGAAUCUUUGAACGCACAUUGCGCCCGCCAGUAUUCUGGCGGGCAUGCCUGUUCGAGCGUCAUUUCAACCCUCAAGCCCUCGGGUUUGGUGUUGGGGAUCGGCGAGCCUUUCUGGCAAGCCGGCCCCGAAAUCUAGUGGCGGUCUCGCUGCAGCCUCCAUUGCGUAGUAGUAAAACCCUCGCAACUGGAACGCGGCGCGGCCAAGCCGUUAAACCCCCAACUUCUGAAUGUUGACCUCGGAUCAGGUAGGAAUACCCGCUGAACUUAAGCAUAUCAAUAAGAGGA